Long non-coding RNA from Triticum aestivum (bread wheat), 1913 nucleotides. RefSeq lists it as uncharacterized. The record is from RefSeq and is a predicted model, not a curated record. The transcript has 2 exons. NCBI's taxonomy places the organism in Eukaryota, Viridiplantae, Streptophyta, Magnoliopsida, Poales, Poaceae.
ACCACGGCCUAUUAUCCAUUCCCUCCACCACCACCAGGCACGCGCCGCCACGCGCAGCCGUUUGCCGCCAGAGUCCACGCCGCAGGAGCCAAGGAGGCGGGCGUACGCGUUGCCCGAGCCCAGGAAUGGGGCGAGGCGUCGCGGCUGGCGUUGGCGAAUCCAUUCCCGGCGGCGGCGGCUUCCGGCGAGGAGGCGAGCGAGCUCGGGGAGCUCCGGCGGGGGCUUGUCGCCGGCGAGGCGAGGCCGAGGCGGCGGUGCGCGGGCGCGAGGAGGCGGGGUCGAGGAGGCGCAGGAGGACGCCGGGCGGGGGCUUGGCGAGGGCGACGGCGGUUGCGAGGGCUUGGCGGCGACUGGCGUGCUCGCUUGGGAGGAUGGAGGCUGCCUCGCCAGGGCUCGGGCGCGGCAGUACGGCGUCGGCACGUUGCCGAUGUCGCCGGGGCCGGGGCGGUGGUUUGACGGGCGACGAGGAGGAGGUGCUGUCCUAGAGCCAGCGACGGCGGCUGCAGCUUGACGAUGCGGGCGUGAACUGCUUGCUUCAGGGGCUGCGGGCCGUGAGCGGCGCUGUGCUUGCACGCGAGACCUGUGUCUGAUUUGGAAAGAAUCAAUCCGUUGAAGGAGAAGGCCAAUGCAACUGCUCUCUAGAUAGGCACUCGAGUGUCCAUCCCAAUGGAAUGGUAUAAAUUGCUGCUGGUACUGAACAUUGACAGGUAAAACUUAGCAUAUCCAGAAAUACAUCAUUAUAAGCUACUUCCAUAGAUGCAUCUAGAUCAUAGCAUCUGAACUUGAGGAUAGCAGACAAAAAUUCAAACAGAAAGCAAGCUACGCUCCAUAUUGUGUUCUUUGUAUCCCAUAUCGAAUAACAGGUUCGUAUUUGAUUGGUUUCUUCACAGCAGCGCAUGGACGAUAAAAGAUCUCUGUUUUGAUAUAUUUCUAUGCCAUGAUUUGUCUAUUGCCACUGUUUCUGAAUUUUUUUUCAUCCAUAAAUCAUGCGACUCAAGUCAAUUUGAGAUCGAAUUUGUUCAUGAGGUCAAGACGGAACCUUGCGACAGCUCCAGGUUAACAUACAUCCAUACUGAAUUUUCUUGGCAUAAUUGUAAAGACUGUUCUAUGUAUUUUUGUGGCAGCAACGUGAGGUUUUUAAUUGGUAUUGUGCUUGAAACAAAGUUGCAUGAUACAUAUUUCCUACAAUCAUUUUGAAAGGUUUGCCACCUUUUUGUAGGUUAUAAGGUAGGUCCUGAAUUCUUGGCAGAUAUUGUAUGAACGCCUAUUCAGAGUAUUUCGCCCUUGAUUGCAAAGAUAUUAUCUUACAGAUAACCUUUGACUUCUCGAUGAACUCUGUACUGUCAGUAUUUGUGCACAAUGCACAUUCUGAAACUUACAACUAUUAGUGAUCAAUGAGAAAAGAACACUUGAUCCUCGAUUCUUAAACUAUCAUCUUACUCAUAACCAUGUACUACUCAGUGAACUCUAUAUAUCUAUCAGUAGUUGGAAGCACUACAAAGCAGUGUCAAAUUCAGUAUUAUAUGUACAUGAGUUUGCUUAUUUCAGGCAAGCAACAACAAACAGACUUUGUUGUUUUUAGUCUAAUGCGAUAUUUGUUGGGCAUCACGGAGGAAUGCCAGCAAAGGCGUGAAGAAAUACUCGUAAUCAGUGUGACAUGUCGUGUGAGAUGAAGGUGGCAAACCAUCACUUGAAGCCAAGCAUGUGGUGGAUCCGGCAUGGAUGAUGGAUGGACCGAUGAGUGUAGAAGUUUGAGCUGUGAAACUUUGUGCGAUCGAGCUCCUGGUGCAAUUAAGCAUAUGGCUUUUGUGAUGUGUCAUGUAGGCAGUGAUUGACUAUAUUUCUUUCCCUCUUAAAUUUGUUGUAAUAAGGUUACCCUUUACAGAAGAAAGAUUGAACCGCCUUUUGGUUUA